Molecule: ribosomal RNA, 418 nt
Filed under: uncultured bacterium
Lineage: Bacteria
Description: bacterial SSU rRNA
Rfam family: Bacterial small subunit ribosomal RNA
Source: RNAcentral
AGUGAACGCUGGCGGCAGGCCUAAUACAUGCAAGUCGAACGGCAGCACAGUGGAGCUUGCUCCAUGGGUGGCGAGUGGCGGACGGGUGAGGAAUACAUGGGAAUCUGCCCAGUCGUGGGGGAUAACGUAUGGAAACGUACGCUAAUACCGCAUGCGCCCUUCGGGGGAAAGUCGGGGACCGCAAGGCCUGACGCGAUUGGAUGAGCCCAUGUUCGAUUAGCUAGUUGGCGGGGUAACGGCCCACCAAGGCGACGAUCGAUAGCUGGUCUGAGAGGAUGAUCAGCCACACUGGAACUGAGACACGGUCCAGACUCCUACGGGAGGCAGCAGUAGGGAAUAUUGGACAAUGGGCGCAAGCCUGAUCCAGCCAUGCCGCGUGAGUGAAGAAGGCCCUCGGGUUGUAAAGCUCUUUGUUGGG